This 253-nucleotide ribosomal RNA is filed under the name uncultured bacterium. RNAcentral describes it as "partial 16S ribosomal RNA". It matches the Rfam family "Bacterial small subunit ribosomal RNA", at positions 524 to 776 of the family's 1533-position model. The record is from RNAcentral.
GACGUAGGGUGCAAGCGUUGUCCGGAAUUAUUGGGCGUAAAGGGCUCGUAGGCGGUUUGUCGCGUCGGGAGUGAAAUCCACUGGCUUAACUGGUGGCUUGCUUUCGAUACGGGCAGACUGGAGGUAUGCAGGGGAGAACGGAAUUCCUGGUGUAGCGGUGAAAUGCGCAGAUAUCAGGAGGAACACCGGUGGCGAAGGCGGUUCUCUGGGCAUGUCCUGACGCUGAGGAGCGAAAGUGUGGGGAGCGAACAGG